Molecule: non-coding RNA, 4194 nt
Organism: Macaca mulatta (Rhesus monkey)
Lineage: Eukaryota; Metazoa; Chordata; Mammalia; Primates; Cercopithecidae
Source: RefSeq, a predicted model, not a curated record
CGCCCUGCCCGGGAAAACGGGGCCUCUCCUGGACAGGCUCCCCUUUGACCCGGGACUUCGGGCGCCUCCUCUCCGCCCUCGCCCUGCCCCGUGAGGCCGCGCUGGGCACCUCACCUUGAUGUUGCAGUGGAGGGUGAGCUGAGGCGGCGGGUCCUGGUUCUUGUGGAAGAUGGAGGCCAGCAACUUCAGCUUGGCCUUGAACCCUGACAAGGACAUCUUACCCUCAUCUCCGGAGGGAAGGGCGCCUAAGGAUGGCUGUGGAGAUCCAGGGAGGCAGUGGCCAUAGAGAUGCUGUAUUAACUGCAGAUGCAGCCAUAGGAGCACUUUGCUAACUGCCAAUAAUCAUUAUCGGUGUUCCCUGAGGAGCGUCAGCCAUGGUAGGUACAUGUUUUGCUGCCUACUGCAUGAAAGGUCUGCCCGCCCCGCUGCCCCAGCUCCACACGGGGGGCACACCUGGGACCUCAGAACCAGGCUCCCUGCCCCUCCCUUCUGGAGCUGCAGACUUGCUCUUUCCUCUUUCUGUCCUUGUGCUGCUGGCUGUCUCACUUCCCUCCCUGCAAGCCAUGGGACUCAGUGCCACUGCUCAAGGUCCCCAUGGCUGAGCCUGGCGGCUCUUAGAACAGGCUCCAUGCCCAAACUGGCAGACAUGGAACCAUCAGAGAGGACACAGAGCUCAUGGUUUAUGGUGUAGGGGCUGGGAACUUGGAGCGGGUUGUGUGUAGUGCUGGACUCUGAGGCCGCCAGAGGCCUAGGCACAUCAUCCUGGGCAUGCUGUACCUGUCAUGCAGUCUGAAUCAUGCUGCCAGGGCAGGUAUCCAGCUCCCAGCCUGGGAGUGCCGAGAGCCAAAUCCACUGCAGAUUAAGGGUGAUAGGAUCCCGUGUCCUCUAUCUGUCAGCAAUCCAGUGGUGAUCGAGGAUAAAAGCCUGAGAGUCCCAUACACACGGUCAUCCCACAACACACUUCACAGACCAGGCAGGGACACACAGCCCCCUUCCCUCCCUCCCAGGUACCAUCAUAGCUGCUCGUGUGGACUGAAGGCAGGGUCCCUGGCCCCCGCUGAAGCACUACCGCCGACCAGCAGGCUCACUCACCUUGGCCUGUUGCUCCUAGGGGUCGCCUGUGCUAUUCAGCCAAGGAGACCACAGUGGCUGCUGGCCCAGCCGAGCUCCGCCUAGCGAGCCCACCUGCCUGUCCUGUCAUGGACUCUUCCUCUUCUGCUUUUCUGAGCAGGAUGGGCCCAGCCUCACCUAUGCAACCUGCAGCCCCCUGCCUACCAGUUGAGGCUCCCCUCUUAGACUUAUAAGUCUAUGUCCAGUGGCAUCCAGCUACCUGUCCUCCUUGCCUUCCCCAGGGUCCCUCAGAGGACACUGGGCUUUCUGACUACCCAGAGGGGCCUCUGGCGCUCACUUCAGCCAGCCAUCCCCUUAUAGUUUCACCAUUUUGUUUCAAGCAGUGUUCCUUCUCUAUCAGGCCUGGUGGCUGUUGGGUGGGGCUCCCCAAGCAAGGGGUGGCCCUGGCCCAGUGGGUUGGAAGACAGGGUGACCAGAGAAGAGGGAAGUCCUGGGGUCUGGCAUUGGUCUGAACUGUGGGUGGACUGCCUGGGUGCCAUGAGAGAGGUCAGCGUGUGUGGGGUGGGGAGGGCCGCCACAGCCCCCGGGCACUACCUACGAAGCUCUGGCUUCUCCCUCCAUCUUCCUUCCCUUUCCCUUCCAGCCUCUCUUUUCCAGGAACCUUGCCAUGCCCACACUUACACCCUCCCCUUUCCAGCCCUCUCACAGCUGCUACGGUGCACCCAUGCUCUGCCCUUGCCUCACCAGCUCUGGCUUUUCUCUAACCUGUUUUCUCUCUGCGCUCUCUCCAAUGCCAGCUGAUUGGGUCAGGCAAGUCCAUCCCGUCCUGAGAGCCCCAGGUCCCCCUUCGACCUCUGAACAGAUCCCUCCUCUUCUCAGAGACCUCCCUUUCCAAGCCUGCCUGGGUGGGUGUCCUGUGACUUGACAGUGGCUCCCCCAGCCCCAAAGCCAGCCCCCUUCAUCUGUGACUUAGUCUGUUGUAGUGGUGAGCUGACACAUCCAGCUGUGACCAUUGCUGAAAACUUGUGCCCCCUCUGUGGUAUGCCCCUGCCCUGUUCUAUAAAUAGCAAUAAAUUCUCACACACACACACACACACACACACACACACACACACACACACACACGUGGCCAACUGCCUGGCCUCUAGCACUGGGAAUCAGUCCUCGUGCUGUCCUUGUGGAGACUUGUGGCCCAACAAGAGGAAGCUGUCUCCUGACACUGCCCCUCAAAAGGGCACCACCUCCAGGGAGCCUCCCUGUCAUGCCCGGCCUGUGGACAACCAGUCCCCGCCAUCCUUCCCACCUCCUGGGAAAGCAUGGGGGUGCUGUGCAGGCAGCUGUGUGGACUGACAGUCUUCCAGUCCUGCUGUCCCUCGGCUGAGACUCCAACUCAUUUCUGGAUGACAGAGAAUGUGUCCUCUGCUCGCUGUGCUCUCUGUGGAGCUCAGGGGAGGGAAAAGUCCAAGCCAUUUUUAGGGUGCUUUUGGGAGCGGUGAAAAGGUCACACCCUUUCCAAGGGACACUUUUCCUAGAAAGUCCCUGGAGCUUAGCUGGUUCUUAUCCUGUGAAGCCGGAUCUGGCCACUAGGGGGCAGGGCCGUGAACUCAACCUGGAGGGAGGCUGCGGGGCAGCCUGCACUCUGGAGGGACAGACAGGCCACCCGGUGCAGACAGGAGAGGGAGGCAGGGGGACAGAAUGGAAGACACCUGGGGUGGGUGAAAGUCAGUGCCCUCGGGUGCUGGUGUUGUCUUCCCGGCCACAGCUAGAUCAGUCUUCUGAACCUGUUGGCUGUCAGGGCUGCACUGUGCCCAUUAGGCACCAUGGCAGUCCCCGUGAAAUCCACCAGGUGUCACCAGGCAGCAUCCAGGCAACAGGCCUGGAAGAUUCCCAACAGCCCAACUGGGCAUGCUCAGACACUCUGGGGCUCGUCUUUCAAUGGGACAAACUGCAGGACCCACUGAGGGAAACGGGAACAUACCAGGCUGAGCAGUAUAGCUAAAUCCAUUUAUUCCCAAAUAAAAAGCAAAGAAAACAGGAGUCCCAUCACCGGGGAGCCAUGACUCCAUCCCCGCCUCCUUCCUCGCUCCUAUGCUAGCAAUAAAUAAGUUUCCCAGCUGCAAAUAACUAUCAGAACCUCUUCCUCAUGUGCCAGUUGCAACCUCCGCUAGGUACGAUACAUACAGAAUGUUACACAGAUACAGUAUAUACAUGGGGGAAGGGUGGGUCACCCCUAGCAGCCUGUGCCCUCGCCUGGUCUACAGUUAGCUCCACUGUCCCGCCUCAGAUGCCUCUCUGAAUAAGAAGAUGGGAGCGCCCCCGAGAGAAAAGUUGCCUUGGUGAGAGUAAGGAGGCCAUCGCACCUCCUACAAACAAACCAAAUCUAUCAACCUCUGGCUCUUAAAUAACAAACAUCAUCAUCCAGAAAUGUAAGGACUCAGCCUUGGUCAAGGUAGUAAAGGGUCUGUUUUUCUCUCUCCAUUAGUCAGGCGUCUUGUCUUGCUACCUAAUGGUAAAAAGGUGACUGGGAAGGGGUUGUAGGGACAUGGUGGGGUGAAGACUCCAGACCCAUUUCUCCAGACUUAUGCUGAUAGGGGCCUGCUUUUAUUUAUUUUUAUUUGCUUUUAUUUAUUUUUAUUCCAUGACUUUUUCCCGUAACUUCUUUCUCAUAACUUUUUUUAAAAAACCUUUCAUGCAACUUUUUUUUUUUUACUUUUUUUGGACUUGUUGCCACAAUUUUUCCACCAUAUUUUUUAUCCCAUAACUUUUCCAUCCCACAACUUUUAAUUCCUGUAACUUUUUUAGUUUAUGUUCUUUUAAUAAACACACUUACAUAGUUACAAUUUUGUGAGAAUAAAAACUGAUUAUCUCAUGACAAGCGUGCCCAACAUUUGCACAGUCUCAAUACCUUUAACACUAUAGUUUUCAAGACACACAAAAUUUUAAGGCAAAAACAGCACCUUGCAACAAUUUCAUAAUUUAUUACAUUAUAGUAGCAUCACAGAAGUCAAUAAUGCCACUUUAGACAAAAGUCAGUAUUUCCAUUAUACAUUCUGUUUACAAAAAAUCAUAAGUUGGUAAAAUUAUUUGCCAAGAAAACUUGGCAAAUAAAGCUUUGGACUGGAA